GUGGCAGGUAGCCUAGUGGUUAGAGUGUAGAGGAGGCAGGUAGCCUAGUGGUUAGAGUGUAGAGGUGGCAGGGUAGCCUAGUGGUUAGAGUGUAGAGGCGGCAGGUAGCCUAGUGGUUAGAGUGUAGAGGCGGCAGGUAGCCUAGUGGUUAGAGUGUAGAGGCAGCAGGUAGCCUAGUGGUUAGAGUGUAGAGGCAGCGUAGCCUAGUGGUUAGAGUGUAGAGGCAGCAGGUAGCCUAGUGGUUAGAGUGUAGAGGUGGCAGGUAGCCUAGUGGUUAGAGUGUAGAGGAGGCAGGUAGCCUAGUGGUUAGAGUGUAGAGGAGGCAGGUAGCCUAGUGGUUAGAGUGUAGAGGUGGCAGGGUAACCUAGUGGUUAGAGUGUAGAGGAGGCAGGUAGCCUAGUGGUUAGAGUGUAGAGGAGGCAGGUAGCCUAGUGGUUAGAGUGUAGAGGAGGCAGGUAGCCUAGUGGUUAGAGUGUAGAGGCGGCAGGUAGCCUAGUGGUUAGAGUGUAGAGGUGGCAGGUAGCCUAGUGGUUAGAGUGUAGAGGAGGCAGGUAGCCUAGUGGUUAGAGUGUAGAGGCGGCAGGUAGCCUAGUGGUUAGAGUGUAGAGGAGGCAGGCAGCCUAGUGGUUAGAGUGCAGAGGAGGCAGGUAGCCUAGUGGUUAGAGUGUAGAGGC
Oncorhynchus tshawytscha (Chinook salmon) is the source of this 674-nucleotide long non-coding RNA. The record is from Ensembl. Lineage: Eukaryota; Metazoa; Chordata; Actinopteri; Salmoniformes; Salmonidae.